GAUCAAUCUAGCUAGCACUAACUCCUACAGUAAUUAAUCGUCUUAUUUAAAAUUUUUUUGCGAUUAAUAUUUUUAUUAUUACUAGAUGAUAAAAUAUAAAUAGUAUUUUAUACGUCACUAAUUUUUUUAAGUUUUUGAACAAAUUUUUCAAAUAAAACGAAUGGUCAAAACGUUGGACACAGAAAAAC
This 188-nucleotide microRNA precursor is filed under the name Oryza brachyantha (malo sina). RNAcentral's name for it is "MIR812 microRNA precursor family". It matches the Rfam family "MIR812 microRNA precursor family". The record is from Rfam by way of RNAcentral. Lineage: Eukaryota; Viridiplantae; Streptophyta; Magnoliopsida; Poales; Poaceae.